This 774-nucleotide ribosomal RNA is filed under the name uncultured Neocallimastigales. RNAcentral describes it as "partial large subunit ribosomal RNA". It matches the Rfam family "Eukaryotic large subunit ribosomal RNA", at positions 24 to 642 of the family's 3401-position model. The record is from RNAcentral. Lineage: Eukaryota; Fungi; Neocallimastigomycota; Neocallimastigomycetes; Neocallimastigales.
UAUCUCUGUAGAGUCUGCAUAUCAAUAAGCGGAGGAAAAGAAACUAACAAGGAUUCCCCUAGUAACGGCGAGUGAAGCGGGAAGAGCUCAAAUUUGAAAUCUUCAAGGUUUGACCUUGACGAAUUGUAGUUUAAAGAAGUGUUUUCGGUUAGAGGAGUAGUAAAAGUUCUUUGGAAUAGGACAUCAUAGAGGGUGAGAAUCCCGUAUUUGACUAUUCUUUCUAGCUUUGUGAUACACUUUCAAAGAGUCGGAUUGUUUGGGAAUGCAGUCCAAAAUGGGUGGUAAAUUUCAUCUAAAGCUAAAUAUUGGCGAGAGACCGAUAGCGAACAAGUACCGUGAGGGAAAGAUGAAAAGAACUUUGAAAAGAGAGUUAAACAGUACGUGAAAUUGUCAAAAGGGAAGCGUUUGACACCAGUGUUGUUUUUCCGAAAAUCAAUUAAAAAUUGAUUCAUGCCAGGUUGUAUUGACCUUAUCAGCUUGCAAUUUGGUUUUGGGUCUCUUUUUGAUGCACUUUUCGGUUAACAAGUCAACAUCAAUUUCCUUUGCUGUAAAAAGGUAAGAGGAAGGUGGCUUCAAUUUCGGUCGAAGUGUUUAUAGCCUUUUAUCUCUGCAGUCGGGGAGAUUGAGGUCUGCGGCGUAGAUCCUUCGGGGCUAGAUACAUUUAUGCUAAGUUAUAGCUUUUCAUAGACAACUUGUUGACUAUGUUUAGUCAUGUAGCUUACUCGUAAGUGCUAUUUUACCUACGCUUAGGAUGUUGAAGACUCUACAGAGAUA